This 253-nucleotide ribosomal RNA is filed under the name uncultured bacterium. RNAcentral's name for it is "partial 16S ribosomal RNA". It matches the Rfam family "Bacterial small subunit ribosomal RNA", at positions 524 to 776 of the family's 1533-position model. The record is from RNAcentral.
GACGUAGGGCGCGAGCGUUGUCCGGAUUUAUUGGGCGUAAAGAGCUCGUAGGCGGCUUGUUGCGUCGUUCGUGAAAUCCCGUGGCUCAACUGCGGGCUUGCGGACGAUACGGGCAGGCUAGAAUUCGGUAGGGGAGACUGGAAUUCCUGGUGUAGCGGUGAAAUGCGCAGAUAUCAGGAGGAACACCGAUGGCGAAGGCAGGUCUCUGGGCAUUAACUGACGCUGAGGAGCGAAAGCAUGGGGAGCAAACGGG